CCCAGACUCCUACGGGAGGCAGCAGUGGGGAAUAUUGCACAAUGGGGGGAACCCUGAUGCAGCAACGCCGCGUGAGUGAAGAAGUAUUUCGGUAUGUAAAGCUCUAUCAGCAGGGAAGAAAAUGACGGUACCUGAGUAAGAAGCCCCGGCUAACUACGUGCCAGCAGCCGCGGUAAUACGUAGGGGGCAAGCGUUAUCCGGAUUUACUGGGUGUAAAGGGAGCGUAGACGGCGAUGCAAGUCUGAAGUGAAAGCCCGGGGCUCAACCCCGGGACUGCUUUGGAAACUGUAUGGCUGGAGUGCUGGAGAGGCAAGCGGAAUUCCUAGUGUAGCGGUGAAAUGCGUAGAUAUUAGGAAGAACACCAGUGGCGAAGGCGACUAUCUGGCACAUAACUGACGCUGAGGAGCGAAAGCGUGGGUAGCAAACAGGAUUAGAUACCCUGGUAGC
Molecule: ribosomal RNA, 447 nt
Filed under: uncultured bacterium
Lineage: Bacteria
Description: bacterial SSU rRNA
Rfam family: Bacterial small subunit ribosomal RNA
Source: RNAcentral